UAAUUGCCCGAAGUUCCUAAGAGGCCAGGUCCCAAUUCCCAAAGCUAAUCAAUGAAUUUCUUUGAUUCCUCGCAUCCUCUAAACUGCCCCAAGGGCCCCCGAUGGACGGAGGCCAGCCGGCGACACAUCCUGGUCCUGGGCCAAGAACGCGAGAACAGCAACCUACACCAUGGCCGUCCAUCGUCAGAGCCAUGGUCAGUGUCCGAGGGCAGGCGAUGCAGACGUGAAGUCCAGGAACUGUUCAAGCGAAGCUCCUCCAGUCAUGUAAAUUCUGCAGGUUGUGUCGUUGCAUGAAUUUUGAUUAUUGGAUGGAUGGAGCAUAGAAUUUCUUCUAAUUUACUCCAAAACCAAGAUUCAGGAAUUCAGGUGCUCUCUACUUUAUUUUGUUUGUAAUAAUGUUCCAAAAAGCAAUUAUCAUCUGGUUGUGAGAAAAGGAAACACUAACUUGUAAAUCAAUUAAUCAAAUCUGAAAACGGUGCUACGUUCUAGACUCUCAACAAAUUUGAGUCUAUUAUAAGGGCCCAUUAUAUGAAACUCGCACAAGGGCCUCUAAGAUUCUAGGGCCGGCCCUGCGCCCAGCUCCGCCCACCCUACUCUUCCCGCUUCUCCAUGACGUUGGUUCCUCUACACCCCGUCGUCUUCGCUCUGCUCUGCCCGUGGCGGCUGCCAUGUCCACUCUUGUGACGUGCCGAUAUGGUGGCGCUGUGGCCGGGUGUGAUCUGGAGAACCAGCGGGCGGUGGUGCACGGCCUGGGCGGCGGCGACCUGCGCGACCCCGGUGCUGCACGGACGCCUCCUUCCCCGUCGCAUUGAUCCAAGGCGGCUCUCUCCUAGCCAACCUCCAGCGACAAGAAGAUGGUAGAUGGGUCAUGGGAGAUGGGGCCACUCGACUCAGCCAAGGCAUCGGAGGACCAAAUCUGGACCGAAGCAGUUCACCAGCACGGGCGACUGAGAGAUUGGACGAGGAAGCCGAGCCGUUCGCGAGGCUAUCGACUCGCCCUUCGCUCGUGGGGCAGAGAAUAACCAGGAGGUGGAGCGGUCCACGGCGUCGUCGCCCUCGCCUUCGAGCCAUCCAUGACGUCGUCGCCAUCACCUAGCCACUCACCGCACAGGACGCAGAGAUGGGCGAGGACGCCUGUGGGAAGCAGCAGCGGCUCGAUGAUGACAGGAAGCAACAGUUCGCUCAUUCCUAGGUAUGUGAACCCUCUUGUCAUCUACAUGGAUAGCUUUCUGUAAUUGUGGCAAGGUGCAGAGAUGGUUGUACAGUCGGUUAUCCUGUCAUUGAAACCAUUCAUAAGGAUAACAUCUGUCAUGUCGUUGAAGCUCCUGCUGAGAUACCUGAGAAAAUGAAAAGAAGUUAGCUACCAAUGUAGCUGAAAAAAACUAUCAAAUCAUUAGAAGGUGUUGGUGUUUUUGUUGCCGGACUAUCUUUAGCAAAUGCCAAUCCAGUUUGUUCGAACAUUUAUGCAUGUCUUAUAUAAUUGAAUCCUCCUAUGUUGAUGUUGGAUCUUUCUCUCAUUGAUAAUUUCACUAGGUUUUAUCCAACGAAGUAGCCCCUAGGGCUCACAUUAGUGGACACCAUAUAAUCCAGACAUGGCACUCUUCACAAUACGAGCAACAUCUACGUGCUAUUCUUGGACUUCCUGUUGGUAACCCUGUAAUUAAAGCACCCGCAGCCAUAAUGAACAAAAUCCUGGGCUAUGAUGAGGUAUGUAUAUAUUUGAUUUUGUGUUGAUUUGCCCUCCAUGUUUUGCUAUGUUAAACAUUGAUAGUUAGGUCAAUAUUUGCUUUAUUAUUUAGUAACUCAUUAUUUUUGUAGGUCACCAUGUUAUUAUACUGGUUACCAAUUGGUACAAUGCAAUUUGGGAUUUUUUUUGGGCCCAUUAGCUGAUUAAGAGGGCGCUAAAUAUUUCAGGUGCAUCAGUCUAUUGGCAUGCAAAGGCAGGUUCUGCCCACACACAUAGAUGUUUGUUGCAGAAAGGUUAUAAUUCUGCUUAUUGCAUUCUUGUGCCAUUGAGUAUUAUUUAAAGAAUUGUUCUUCCACAUAUUUGGAAGCAAAGUAAGAUGGGUCAUAUUACAAUUGUGGGGCGUUAAUUAUGUGUUCAGUGUAAAAGCACAUUUGGACAAGUACACAAGAAUUUGUUGUUAGGGUCUACCGACAAAACAUGUAGAUCUGACACAUAAAGGCACCUUGCCUUGUAUCAUGCAUUCUGCCCCAUAGACAUGUUCUUUAUCAGAUCUGAUGGUUCUCUGGUGGUUACAUGCCGACUGAAUCGAAUUGGGUUGGAUGCUCAGGUUGCAGGUUCCAAGGUGUGAUCGUUGUCCAUUUGUUUGAGGUCGGGCAACAACGAUAAUUAGCAGCCCUGUAUCCUAACCAGGAGAACAUCGCUUCCCCAAUUGGUUUUUAGAUUAUGUUCAGUUAAUUAGAAAAAUAGUGGGCUUGCUAAAACAUCGCAAUUUUCCAUGUGAGUCGAUAUGGAAUUAACAAACACUAUAUGCAUCAAUGUCUAUUUAAUGGCCUAAAAACACUGGCAUGUUUGGAUCUAAUUUUUCAUCUGUACGUAUCAGCGGUGAGCUAUUCCCACUUGAGGGUGACUAUACAUCAGUUGCACAUUCAUGUGUCUUGUGCUUCUUGUUUGAAUUGUAUAAAUCUAGAGCCACCUUACAAAAUUGUUCUGAUUACUAUGACCUAUAAAAUCUAGAGCUAGCUUAUAAAACUAUUUUGAAAAUAGCUUUGGGCCUUCACAUGAGGGAGUAAUAGGACACUUUAUAUUCCUAUUUUAUUUUUUCUGUAUAUGUACACUGUUUUCAGAAUCUAUUCGUUUGCUGGUUGCUGCUGAACCUACUUUCCUUUACGUCCCUUGCUUCCCCAAUUACAUCAUGUUCGGCUUUAACUUCGCUGAAUUAGCUCUGAUUAAUUUUCAGUUGGACAGUUACAUUGGAAUAGAUUCAGCAGCAAAUAGAUUCUGAAAACAGAACUACAUCAUGUUUGUGACAUCAACAUUUUUGCCAUGCUAACUGGUUAGUUUAACUUGUUACAGAUUGCAUUUUAUAUAUUUCUAUGUAUGCUUCUUUUAACUAACAAACCCGUCUACUGGUAUAUCGGUAACUAUAUCUUUUUAACCUUCUUUUGGGACAAUGAAUCAUAUUCACCUAUUCAGUUGUCCAUGAUCCAUUACAGGAAUCACCUUUAAGGUAAUCUGUUCAUUGUGCAUUUUUGGUGAGACUUGCAUGCGGGCCAUGAGAGGAGCACAUGAGAGGCGAAGGCGGCAGUGGCAGCGAUUUCGAUCUGUGGUACGCCUCCCUACUGAAGCCGGCUGCGUGAUCCGUCCGUGCCACAAGACGUCAACUUCCUGACCGUGCUACUGCACCAAGACUUACCCAUUCGUAUCCCCUUUGGCUUGCCACUAGACUCUCGCUGUCAGGCCAAGAAAGAGGGCGACAGAGAGGGCUCAGCCUCGGUCGUCCGGCAAUCACUUAGGAUACGUAUGUCUCCUCGGUCUAUUUCUAGGAAUCCUGUAUUCUCCAAUAAUCGUUUACAAAUCUGUGAGAACAAGUGAUGGGAGGUUGCGAACCAACCUGUGGUUGAGAUGGUUAGGUGGACAGUGGUAUCACCAACCCACCAGGGUUCAAAUCUUGGUGCUCGCAUUAUUCCUGGAUUUAUUUCAGGAUUUCCGGCGAUGCGCUUUCAGUGGGAGGAGACGUUCCCAUCGACAACGAGGCGCCUACGAUGGCUUCGUAAAUCUCAAGAUGAUAUGCCGGCUCAGUCUCUCGGAGGUGCUCAUAGGGGUAGGGUGUGCGUGUGUGUGUUCAUAGGGGUGAGUGUAUGCGCAUGUAUAUGAGCGCUUGUGUCUGUACUGAUGCUCAAAAAAGUGAUGGGAGGUUAAUUCUAAAGUAUAUAUGUUAAGCUCCAAUAUAUUAGGCUCAUCAAAUCCUUGAAGUAUACUUUAUU
Molecule: non-coding RNA, 3951 nt
Organism: Aegilops tauschii subsp. strangulata
Lineage: Eukaryota; Viridiplantae; Streptophyta; Magnoliopsida; Poales; Poaceae
Source: RefSeq, a predicted model, not a curated record